Molecule: small RNA, 805 nt
Filed under: Pongo abelii (Sumatran orangutan)
Lineage: Eukaryota; Metazoa; Chordata; Mammalia; Primates; Hominidae
Description: processed transcript
Source: RNAcentral
CUCAUGAGCGUCCGGGUAGUCUGGUAAGGGGUCGCUGGAGAGUGUGUCGCCCCUCUCCCCCAACCAAAAGCUUCCCUCCAACCAGCUGCUCUUGUCUUCUCCUCCCGAGGGCCCUGUGCCCUCCCAGUGGACUUGCAGGGGAGAACGUCCAUGUCUGUGCGAGUCACAAAGGCACCCGUUCCAGGGGUCCCAGAACGCCCGGGCGUGGGGCUGGGGCUGUGGCGCAGCGAGGCCGCGCAGCAAGCAGUCCUCCCGGCACCGUCGGAAGCCUAGUUGCAGCAGCCGUCGGACAAGCGGCCCGAGCAGCCACGGACAAGCAGUCCGGGCCCCGCCACUGCAAGGAGAUCAAGACCCUGAAGGCAGAGCAGGAUGAGAUCACCCUACUGUUGAGUCUCAUGAAAUCCUCGAGGAACAUGAAUCGGAGUGAGAAGAACUACAUGGAGCUGUGUCUCCUGCUGCAAACCAAAGAGGACUACGAGGCCUUGAUUAAAUCCCUGAAAGUGCUGUUGGCUGAACUGGAUGAGAAGAUUCUUCAGAUGGAAAAAAAAGUCGCAAACCAAAAACAGAUUUUCGCAAAAAUGCAGGAGGCCAAUAACCCCCGGAAACUGCAGAAACAGAUUAACAUUUUGGAAACCCGUCUGAAUCUCGGUGGAGGCCAUGGCUCGAAUGGCUGCCAUGAAGGACCGCCAGAAGAAGGACACCUCUCAGUACAACCUGGAGAUCCGAGAGCUGGAGCGUCUCUAUGCCCACGAGAACAAGCUCAAGUCCUUCCUGCUUGUCAAGCUGAAUGAUCGCAAUGAAUUUG